GCGAUUACAACUGUAUUGUUACAGACUUUUUUUCAGAAUGCAAGCAGAGGCUGAAAAAAACUUCUCUUUUUCUGGUAUUUCAUUAUAGUCUAUUAAAAACAAAAUAAUAUGUAUUUUUUAUUUUUAGGAGGAAGAACAAAAGGAUUCUGUAAAGUCACGGUAUGGAUAAGAUGUUUCACAUUGUUGUCUUUGACAAGACAAAUGAGGUUGAAGUUGUGCCUUCAGUCUGGAUUAAAAAUGGAGAGUGCAUGUGGCCUCCAAAUAAGAUAGAUAUAACAAAAGCUGUGAAAUCACAGGAGAGUCCUGGAGAUGACUGGAAGCCCCAUAAGGCCAGAAUUAUUUUCACGUCACAUGAGUUGUUUUGCCACCACUUUCUUCAUUGAAUAGUUAUAAAAAGUUAAAAGUAAUANAAGUAAUAGUUAAAAUUACAGGUUUACAUUGAAAAUUUAUUUUUGUGAUGCUGUUUUUCCAGAUGACUACAAGGAAGCUAGACGUAAACUACCUCUUGCUGUUGAUCACACAGACAUUGAUCAGACCGAUGGAGGAGACUCACCAAUUACAUUUCAAAGAAAAAGAAUACCCAAGUACAUUCUUUUCCCUGGAGAAGACGACGACGAUGAUAAUGCGAUGGAAGAGCACCUGAAAGAACCAAAAUCAAGAAAAGGAAGGUAUUCUAUACCCGAUGCUCCGAAAAUUGCUAGACAUGCCAACAAAUUAGACCCAGGAAAGCCAAACUGCCCUAAGAUCUUCCACAGUACUCUUGACCUCCGCAAUGAUGAGAUGGAAGGCAUUAAAGGAACAAAGUCCAAAAAAAAGAGGUAUGCCUUACCUAAUGCUCCAGUGAUCUCUAGGGAACAGAUUUCUCCUGCAGUAGACAACCUCCACCUUAGUGGCCAAGGCAGAACUGACCUUCGUUCACGCGAUCAUAGCAGUCCUGAUGUUAGCCCACAUGGCCAAAGCAGUCCUCACCUUCGUCCACAUGGCCAAAAGAGUCCCAAUCUUCUCCCAAGUUGCUACAGUCCUGACUUGUAUGCAGAUUGCCACAGCACUCCUGAGAUCCACUCAAGUCAGCAGACCAGCAUUGCUAUGUUAUCCUCAGGCUGGAAUGUUCUCUCCGAGAGUUGUACAUCAAGUAAAUCAAGCACUGAGACCCUUUUAAGCCAAGCCAACGUUGAGGUCAGAAGACUAGCCCAUAAAAGUAAAGAGAUCCAUAAAAAAAGGCACUCCGAACCUUCAAGGCUCCCUCAGCCACACCAGACCACGGACAUCGAGCAAACAUCCAGUCACCAAAUUUGUGAGUAUAUUAGUGUUUAGCCCUUUUCACACAGAGAAUGCACUGAUAGUGUGUCAUGGGAUUAGCCUCAGGAUUGUCUGAUUUUGCUUAAUUCACAUUGCCAGUGAUUUUCCGCAAUCUGUGCUAGAGAUGUGCAACAGUGAUCGAGUACUCGAGUACUCGGCCGUGACAGCGAUGAUCAAUCAUGAAAACGAUGAUCGUGGAAAAAAAAUCUGAUUAGUUACAGCAACACUUUGGGUGGCACCAUGAGCUCUUAUUGUUUAGCUUGCAACAGCAUGAGGUUCAAAUGCAUGGCUUCGAAGUCACAUAGUGAU
Long non-coding RNA from Cyprinus carpio (common carp), 1608 nucleotides. NCBI's taxonomy places the organism in Eukaryota, Metazoa, Chordata, Actinopteri, Cypriniformes, Cyprinidae. The record is from Ensembl.